AUACUUACCUGGCAGGGGAGACACCUUGAUCACAAAGGAGGUUUUCCCAGGGCGGGGCUCAGCCAUUGCACUCCAGCUGUGCUGACCCCUGUGAUUUUCCCCAAAUGCAGGAAACUCGACUGCUUAACUUGUGGUAGUGGGGGACUGCAUGCGUGCUUUCCCCUG
Molecule: small nuclear RNA, 165 nt
Filed under: Salvator merianae (Argentine black and white tegu)
Lineage: Eukaryota; Metazoa; Chordata; Lepidosauria; Squamata; Teiidae
Description: U1 spliceosomal RNA (ENSSMRG00000009177.1)
Rfam family: U1 spliceosomal RNA
About the family: U1 is a small nuclear RNA (snRNA) component of the spliceosome (involved in pre-mRNA splicing).
Source: Rfam by way of RNAcentral